Molecule: ribosomal RNA, 207 nt
Filed under: uncultured bacterium
Lineage: Bacteria
Description: partial 16S ribosomal RNA
Rfam family: Bacterial small subunit ribosomal RNA
Source: RNAcentral
CAUGCAGGUGGUUUCGUUAGUCGGAUGUGAAAGCCUCUGGCUUAACUAGAGGAGGUCGUUCGAUACUGCGAAACUAGAGGUCGGGAGAGGAAAGCGGAAUUCCCGGUGUAGUGGUGGAAUGCGUAGAUAUCGGGAGGAACACCAGUGGCGAAGGCGGCUUUCUGGCCCGCACCUGACACUAAGAUGCGAAAGCGUGGGUAGCGAACG